Molecule: ribosomal RNA, 181 nt
Filed under: Shigella dysenteriae
Lineage: Bacteria; Pseudomonadati; Pseudomonadota; Gammaproteobacteria; Enterobacterales; Enterobacteriaceae
Description: partial 23S ribosomal RNA
Rfam family: Bacterial large subunit ribosomal RNA
Source: RNAcentral
AGUGCUGAAAGCAUCUAAGCACGAAACUUGCCCCGAGAUGAGUUCUCCCUGACCCUUUAAGGGUCCUGAAGGAACGUUGAAGACGACGACGUUGAUAGGCCGGGUGUGUAAGCGCAGCGAUGCGUUGAGCUAACCGGUACUAAUGAACCGUGAGGCUUAACCUUACAACGCCGAAGCUGUU